AAGUGUCAAAGGUUUAGCAGAGACUUGCCAUACUACGGAAGAUGCAAUCGAAAAGGAAAGUCAGUUGUGCGUGUUUUGACAUGGAGAGAAAAGCUUGAACAGCACAAGGCAGCUCCAAUUUAUUCUGCUUUCUCGAGGAAGCAACCCCAAUUUCCAAGAACUACAGCAGGGAAGUGGUGAGAUACUAAACUUCCUGAACAACCUGGCACACUACAAUUUUUACAUCCAACAAAUAUGCUUUGGUAGGUUAUGGAGCGUUUUUCAAAGUUUGAAGAAUUUAGGGCUGACUUUUGAUAUGUGCAUACUGUAUCAAAUCUAAAGGUUGUUCCAGAACUAUGAUAAAUCAUGUUGCACAGAGCACCAGAUUUUGCUUCUGGACUCCAAGCACAACACUGAAAAGGUUGUCAUAGAACUGCAAUCCAUUUUUGAGGUCUGGUUUUAUUUCGGAACAAGUCAUAUACAAGGUUCUAAAAGGUGUCUUUCUGCGGCCUGCUCUGUUUCUUUUAAGUGGUUUGAAUCUGAUGCCUCAAAUCUGAAUUGAAUCCCUAUUAUUAAUUAGUUUGUUAGUUGUUAGUCUGAAAAGUAUUCUGUGUUAGUUGUUUAGCUGAUUCCCUGCAUCUAUCUUUGAUUGCCUGAAUGUAUAGGUUAGCAGAUUGCCUGAAUGCCUACUGUAGUGGUAAUAUUGUUUUUCACUUGUUAGUUGCUCACUGAACUCUGAAUGACUGAAUGUAGGAUGUCGACUAUAUAGCAUGAAUCUCCUAAAAUCGAAGGAGCAAAUAUCCUGAAAAGAAAUUCAGGUGACGUGGGAUGGGAAUAUGGGGUUCUUGCUGAUGCUUAG
This 838-nucleotide long non-coding RNA is filed under the name Zea mays. Its description in RNAcentral is "long non-coding RNA (ZMAY_LNC005405)". The record is from RNAcentral. Lineage: Eukaryota; Viridiplantae; Streptophyta; Magnoliopsida; Poales; Poaceae.